This 482-nucleotide ribosomal RNA is filed under the name uncultured bacterium. RNAcentral's name for it is "partial 16S ribosomal RNA". It matches the Rfam family "Bacterial small subunit ribosomal RNA", at positions 28 to 507 of the family's 1533-position model. The record is from RNAcentral.
GACGAACGCUGGCGGCGUGCCUAACACAUGCAAGUCGAACGGAACUGUUUUGAAAGAUUUCUUCGGAAUGAAUUUGAUUUAGUUUAGUGGCGGACGGGUGAGUAACGCGUGAGUAACCUGCCUUCAAGAGGGGAAUAACAUUCUGAAAAGAAUGCUAAUACCGCAUGACAUAUCGGAACCACAUGGUUUUGAUAUCAAAGAUUUUAUCGCUUGAAGAUGGACUCGCGUCCGAUUAGUUAGUUGGUGAGGUAACGGCUCACCAAGACCGCGAUCGGUAGCCGGACUGAGAGGUUGAACGGCCACAUUGGGACUGAGACACGGACCAGACUCCUACGGGAGGCAGCAGUGGGGGAUAUUGCGCAAUGGGGGCAACCCUGACGCAGCAACGCCGCGUGAAGGAUGAAGGUUUUCGGAUUGUAAACUUCUUUUAUUAAGGACGAAAAAUGACGGUACUUAAUGAAUAAGCUCCGGCUAACUACGUG